CCCUUGAUUCAAUCAAAGGUGACUGUUCAUUCUCAUCAAGUUCAUUAUCUUGACUGUAUCCUGCAUCUCUCAACUCACUGCUAAGACUUUUGUACUUAGAAUAACUGUUUCUGGGACUUCUACUGAUGAGUGAAAUUGGCUUCCUUAGUGAGGGCAAAUUGAUUCCAUAAUUAUAAUCUGUAAAUGUAUGCAUUGUUUGUAAUCUAUUACUAACUAAUUUAUUAAUUCCUUGUUCCAUUGCAU
This 243-nucleotide non-coding RNA is filed under the name Cryptosporidium parvum. The record is from RNAcentral. Lineage: Eukaryota; Apicomplexa; Conoidasida; Eucoccidiorida; Cryptosporidiidae.